RNAcentral lists this ribosomal RNA (1682 nucleotides) under Chiasmodon harteli. RNAcentral's name for it is "16S rRNA". The stretch from base 97 to 1604 matches the Rfam family "Bacterial large subunit ribosomal RNA". The record is from RNAcentral. Lineage: Eukaryota; Metazoa; Chordata; Actinopteri; Scombriformes; Chiasmodontidae.
CGCCAACCAGCUAGCCCAACCCAACAAAAUCAACAACUUAAUAUUUAUACCCCCAAAAACACCCACCCUUUUAAAACAAACCAUUUUACCACCCUAGUAUGGGCGACAAAAAAGGAAUUAUGGAGCAAUAGAGAAAGUACCGCAAGGGAACGCUGAAAGAGAAAUGAAACAACUCAGUGAAGCCUCAAAAAGCAGAGACUACCCCUCGUACCUUUUGCAUCAUGAUUUAGCUAGAAUACUCCAAGCAAAGAGCACUUUAGUUUGGAACCCCGAAACUUGGUGAGCUACUCCAAGACAGCCUAUUAAUAGGGCAAACCCGUCUCUGUGGCAAAAGAGUGGGAAGAGCUUUGAGUAGAGGUGACAGACCUACCGAACCUAGUUAUAGCUGGUUGCCUGAGAAAUGGAUAGAAGUUCAGCCUCCCGGAUUCUCUCUUCACCGAGACCUUGCUCCCACAAGAUGCUUAAGAAGCCGAGAGAGUUAAUCGAAGGGGGUACAGCCCCUUUGAAAUAAGAUACAACUUUUACCAGGAGGAUAAAGAUCAUAUUAAUUAAGGUAACAUGCCUCGGUGGGCCUAAAAGCAGCCAUCCCUAUAGAAAGCGUUAAAGCUCGAGCAUACCACCAACCCAUAUAUUUAGAUAACUUAUCUUAAUCCCCUAAUACUAUCAGGCCGUCUCAUGCCUACAUGAGAGCGUACAUGCUAAUAUGAGUAAUAAGAGAGCUACGUCUCUCUCCUUGCACACGUGUAAAUCGGAACGAACCCGCACCGAAAAUUAAUGGCCCCAAAUAAAGAGGGGAGUGAAAAACAAGUAAGCAACUAGAAAACCAUUCAACAAAAACCGUUACCCCCACACUGGUGUGCCCCUAAGGAAAGACUAAAAGAAAGAGAAGGAACUCGGCAAACACACUAAGCCUCGCCUGUUUACCAAAAACAUCGCCUCUUGCAAAACUAAGGAAUAAGAGGUCCAGCCUGCCCUGUGACUAUAUGUUUAACGGCCGCGGUAUUUUGACCGUGCGAAGGUAGCGCAAUCACUUGUCUUUCAAAUGAAGACCUGUAUGAAUGGCACAACGAGGGCUUAACUGUCUCCUUUUUCAGGUCAAUGAAAUUGAUCUCCCCGUGCAGAAGCGGGGAUAAACACAUAAGACGAGAAGACCCUAUGGAGCUUUAGACACCAAGGUAUAUCAUGUUAAACACCCUCACAUAAAGGAUUAAACCAAGUGAACCCUACCCCUAUGUCUUUGGUUGGGGCGACCGCGGGGAAAUGAAAAACCCCCACGUGGAAUGAGAAUACUAUUCUUAUACCCAAGAGCUGCAGCUCUAAUUACAGAAUUUCUGACCAAUAAGAUCCGGCAACGCCGAUCAACGGACCGAGUUACCCUAGGGAUAACAGCGCAAUCCCCUUUUAGAGCCCAUAUCGACAAGGGGGUUUACGACCUCGAUGUUGGAUCAGGACAUCCUAAUGGUGCAGCCGCUAUUAAGGGUUCGUUUGUUCAACGAUUAAAGUCCUACGUGAUCUGAGUUCAGACCGGAGUAAUCCAGGUCAGUUUCUAUCUAUGAUAUGUUUUUUUCUAGUACGAAAGGACCGGAAAGAAGAGGCCAAUACUUAAGGCACGCCUCUCCCCUCCUAUUGAAAUUAACUAAAAUAGGCAAAAGGGCGUAACCCUGAGCCUAAGAUAAUGGCAU